GGACGAACGCUGGCGGCGUGCCUAACACAUGCAAGUCGAGCGAGGAGAUCCUUCGGGAUGAUCCUAGCGGCGGACGGGUGAGUAACACGUGGGCAACCUGCCUCAUAGAGAGGAAUAGCCUUCCGAAAGGGAGAUUAAUACCUCAUAACAUUGCAGUUUCGCAUGGAACAGCAAUUAAAGGAGUAAUCCGCUAUGAGAUGGGCCCCGCGGCGCAUUAGCUAGUUGGUGAGGUAACGGCUCACCAAGGCGACGAUGCGUAGCCGACCUGAGAGGGUGAUCGGCCACAUUGGGACUGAGACACGGCCCAGACUCCUACGGGAGGCAGCAGUGGGGAAUAUUGCACAAUGGGGGAAACCCUGAUGCAAGCAACGCCGCGUGAGUGAUGACGGCCUUCGGGUUGUAAAGCUCUGUCUUCAGGGACGAUAAUGACGGUACCUGAGGAGGAAGCCACGGCUAACUACGUGCCAGCAGCCGC
Molecule: ribosomal RNA, 475 nt
Filed under: uncultured bacterium
Lineage: Bacteria
Description: bacterial SSU rRNA
Rfam family: Bacterial small subunit ribosomal RNA
Source: RNAcentral